UUAACUUGAUAGAACUUGCAU
RNAcentral lists this non-coding RNA (21 nucleotides) under Caenorhabditis elegans. The record is from RNAcentral. Lineage: Eukaryota; Metazoa; Nematoda; Chromadorea; Rhabditida; Rhabditidae.